This is a long non-coding RNA of Salarias fasciatus (jewelled blenny), 101 nucleotides long. RefSeq lists it as uncharacterized. The transcript is spliced from 3 exons. Lineage: Eukaryota; Metazoa; Chordata; Actinopteri; Blenniiformes; Blenniidae. The record is from RefSeq and is a predicted model, not a curated record.
AGGACACUCUGUUCUCCAGUUUAGUGUCUCAUCCCUGAUUGAGAUCAGUCAGCCACGGUUUGGCUGCCGUCUCACCCACAGUGAUGAUCUCUCUGUUCCCU